CAGCCGCCGCGGUAAUACGUAGGGUGCGAGCGUUAAUCGGAAUUACUGGGCGUAAAGCGUGCGCAGGCGGUGAUGUAAGACAGAUGUGAAAUCCCCGGGCUCAACCUGGGAACUGCAUUAGUGACUGCAUCGCUGGAGUGCGGCAGAGGGGGAUGGAAUUCCGCGUGUAGCAGUGAAAUGCGUAGAUAUGCGGAGGAACACCGAUGGCGAAGGCAAUCCCCUGGGCCUGCACUGACGCUCAUGCACGAAAGCGUGGGGAGCAAACAGCAUUAGAUACCCCCGUAGUCCCUGUCUCUUAUAA
RNAcentral lists this ribosomal RNA (301 nucleotides) under uncultured bacterium. RNAcentral's name for it is "partial 16S ribosomal RNA". It matches the Rfam family "Bacterial small subunit ribosomal RNA", at positions 509 to 809 of the family's 1533-position model. The record is from RNAcentral.